This 376-nucleotide ribosomal RNA is filed under the name Plesionika martia. RNAcentral describes it as "eukaryotic LSU rRNA". It matches the Rfam family "Eukaryotic large subunit ribosomal RNA", at positions 55 to 397 of the family's 3401-position model. Lineage: Eukaryota; Metazoa; Arthropoda; Malacostraca; Decapoda; Pandalidae. The record is from RNAcentral. RNAcentral also lists the same sequence under 1 other name.
GGAAAAGAAACCAACCGGGAUUCCCUGAGUAAGGGCGACUGAAACGGGACCAGCCCAGCGCAUAACCUCGCGGUCCUCAGCCGGCCGUCGAGGGGUGUUGCGUUCCGGUGGAUCCGUCCCGCUCGAGCCGCUUACCGCCUAAGUCAUUGCUUGAAAGCAGCCCCAAGGAGGGUGAUAGGCCCGUGUGGCGGCGCCUCUAAAAAGGGUGAAGGCGGCCCGGGCGGAGGGAUCUUCACCGUAGAGUCGGGUUGCUUAGUACUGCAGCCCUAAGCAGGUGGUAAACUCCAUCUAAGGCUAAAUACAACCACGAGUCCGAUAGAGAACAAGUACCGUGAGGGAAAGCUGAAAAGGACUUUGAAGAGAGAGUUCAAGAGGA